AUGAACGCUGGCGGCGUGCCUAAUACAUGCAAGUCGAGCGAACAGACGAGGAGCUUACUCCUCUGACGUUAGCGGCGGACGGGUGAGUAACACGUGGAUAACCUACCUAUAAGACUGGGAUAACUUCGGGAAACCGGAGCUAAUACCGGAUAACAUGUUGAACCGCAUGGUUCAACAGUGAAAGACGGUCUUGCUGUCACUUAUAGAUGGAUCCGCGUCGCAUUAGCUAGUUGGUAAGGUAACGGCUUACCAAGGCAACGAUGCGUAGCCGACCUGAGAGGGUGAUCGGCCACACUGGAACUGAGACACGGUCCAGACUCCUACGGGAGGCAGCAGUAGGGAAUCUUCCGCAAUGGGCGAAAGCCUGACGGAGCAACGCCGCGUGAGUGAAGAAGGUCUUCGGAUCGUAAAACUCUGUUAUUAGGGAAGAACAAAUGUGUAAGUGACUAUGCACGUCUUGACGGUACCUAAUCAGAAAGCCACGGCUAACUACGUG
Molecule: ribosomal RNA, 496 nt
Filed under: uncultured bacterium
Lineage: Bacteria
Description: partial 16S ribosomal RNA
Rfam family: Bacterial small subunit ribosomal RNA
Source: RNAcentral